Molecule: small RNA, 171 nt
Filed under: Streptomyces sp.
Lineage: Bacteria; Bacillati; Actinomycetota; Actinomycetes; Kitasatosporales; Streptomycetaceae
Description: c-di-AMP sequence
Rfam family: c-di-AMP riboswitch aptamer (ydaO/yuaA leader)
About the family: This family represents a conserved RNA structure found upstream of the ydaO and yuaA genes in Bacillus subtilis and related genes in other bacteria. The ydaO/yuaA element is thought to act as a genetic "off" switch for the ydaO and yuaA genes in its native state. It is believed that the element may be triggered during osmotic shock leading to activation of ydaO, a predicted amino acid transporter gene, and members of the yuaA-yubG operon which code for KtrA and KtrB K+ transporters.
Source: RNAcentral
GCCGUCCGGAUGCCUGGUCGACAUGAGUGGAUCGGCAGGAGUGGAGGACCCGAGCAGUACGGGACGGCCCGGAAACGAGUCUCCCUCGGGGUGAAGCCGCCGCGGCGGCCGGGCAACUUCGCCAGCCCGAACCCGACAGGUCAUCCUUCACAGGCGGCUGACGAAGGGUUG